RNAcentral lists this ribosomal RNA (2058 nucleotides) under Escherichia coli KTE51. Its description in RNAcentral is "bacterial LSU rRNA". It matches the Rfam family "Bacterial large subunit ribosomal RNA", at positions 890 to 2925 of the family's 2925-position model. The record is from RNAcentral. Lineage: Bacteria; Pseudomonadati; Pseudomonadota; Gammaproteobacteria; Enterobacterales; Enterobacteriaceae.
UCAUCUCCGGGGGUAGAGCACUGUUUCGGCAAGGGGGUCAUCCCGACUUACCAACCCGAUGCAAACUGCGAAUACCGGAGAAUGUUAUCACGGGAGACACACGGCGGGUGCUAACGUCCGUCGUGAAGAGGGAAACAACCCAGACCGCCAGCUAAGGUCCCAAAGUCAUGGUUAAGUGGGAAACGAUGUGGGAAGGCCCAGACAGCCAGGAUGUUGGCUUAGAAGCAGCCAUCAUUUAAAGAAAGCGUAAUAGCUCACUGGUCGAGUCGGCCUGCGCGGAAGAUGUAACGGGGCUAAACCAUGCACCGAAGCUGCGGCAGCGACGCUGAUGCGUUGUUGGGUAGGGGAGCGUUCUGUAAGCCUGUGAAGGUGUACUGUGAGGUAUGCUGGAGGUAUCAGAAGUGCGAAUGCUGACAUAAGUAACGAUAAAGCGGGUGAAAAGCCCGCUCGCCGGAAGACCAAGGGUUCCUGUCCAACGUUAAUCGGGGCAGGGUGAGUCGACCCCUAAGGCGAGGCCGAAAGGCGUAGUCGAUGGGAAACAGGUUAAUAUUCCUGUACUUGGUGUUACUGCGAAGGGGGGACGGAGAAGGCUAUGUUGGCCGGGCGACGGUUGUCCCGGUUUAAGCGUGUAGGCUGGUUUUCCAGGCAAAUCCGGAAAAUCAAGGCUGAGGCGUGAUGACGAGGCACUACGGUGCUGAAGCAACAAAUGCCCUGCUUCCAGGAAAAGCCUCUAAGCAUCAGGUAACAUCAAAUCGUACCCCAAACCGACACAGGUGGUCAGGUAGAGAAUACCAAGGCGCUUGAGAGAACUCGGGUGAAGGAACUAGGCAAAAUGGUGCCGUAACUUCGGGAGAAGGCACGCUGAUAUGUAGGUGAAGUCCCUUGCGGAUGGAGCUGAAAUCAGUCGAAGAUACCAGCUGGCUGCAACUGUUUAUUAAAAACACAGCACUGUGCAAACACGAAAGUGGACGUAUACGGUGUGACGCCUGCCCGGUGCCGGAAGGUUAAUUGAUGGGGUCAGCGCAAGCGAAGCUCUUGAUCGAAGCCCCGGUAAACGGCGGCCGUAACUAUAACGGUCCUAAGGUAGCGAAAUUCCUUGUCGGGUAAGUUCCGACCUGCACGAAUGGCGUAAUGAUGGCCAGGCUGUCUCCACCCGAGACUCAGUGAAAUUGAACUCGCUGUGAAGAUGCAGUGUACCCGCGGCAAGACGGAAAGACCCCGUGAACCUUUACUAUAGCUUGACACUGAACAUUGAGCCUUGAUGUGUAGGAUAGGUGGGAGGCUUUGAAGUGUGGACGCCAGUCUGCAUGGAGCCGACCUUGAAAUACCACCCUUUAAUGUUUGAUGUUCUAACGUUGACCCGUAAUCCGGGUUGCGGACAGUGUCUGGUGGGUAGUUUGACUGGGGCGGUCUCCUCCUAAAGAGUAACGGAGGAGCACGAAGGUUGGCUAAUCCUGGUCGGACAUCAGGAGGUUAGUGCAAUGGCAUAAGCCAGCUUGACUGCGAGCGUGACGGCGCGAGCAGGUGCGAAAGCAGGUCAUAGUGAUCCGGUGGUUCUGAAUGGAAGGGCCAUCGCUCAACGGAUAAAAGGUACUCCGGGGAUAACAGGCUGAUACCGCCCAAGAGUUCAUAUCGACGGCGGUGUUUGGCACCUCGAUGUCGGCUCAUCACAUCCUGGGGCUGAAGUAGGUCCCAAGGGUAUGGCUGUUCGCCAUUUAAAGUGGUACGCGAGCUGGGUUUAGAACGUCGUGAGACAGUUCGGUCCCUAUCUGCCGUGGGCGCUGGAGAACUGAGGGGGGCUGCUCCUAGUACGAGAGGACCGGAGUGGACGCAUCACUGGUGUUCGGGUUGUCAUGCCAAUGGCACUGCCCGGUAGCUAAAUGCGGAAGAGAUAAGUGCUGAAAGCAUCUAAGCACGAAACUUGCCCCGAGAUGAGUUCUCCCUGACCCUUUAAGGGUCCUGAAGGAACGUUGAAGACGACGACGUUGAUAGGCCGGGUGUGUAAGCGCAGCGAUGCGUUGAGCUAACCGGUACUAAUGAACCGUGAGACUUAACCUU